AUAUUCUGUCUUUUGGCUAAGAUCAAGUGUAAUAUCUGUUCUUAUCAGAUUAACAGGAUUCUGAUAAAAAGAAUAACUGGUGAAAUAAAGGGAAAUGAUU
Small nuclear RNA from Anolis carolinensis (green anole), 100 nucleotides. Its record names the gene U2. It matches the Rfam family "U2 spliceosomal RNA". Rfam says of the family: U2 is a small nuclear RNA (snRNA) component of the spliceosome (involved in pre-mRNA splicing). Complementary binding between U2 snRNA (in an area lying towards the 5' end but 3' to hairpin I) and the branchpoint sequence (BPS) of the intron results the bulging out of an unpaired adenosine, on the BPS, which initiates a nucleophilic attack at the intronic 5' splice site, thus starting the first of two transesterification reactions that mediate splicing. The record is from Ensembl. NCBI's taxonomy places the organism in Eukaryota, Metazoa, Chordata, Lepidosauria, Squamata, Anolidae.